Vicia villosa (hairy vetch) is the source of this 673-nucleotide long non-coding RNA. RefSeq lists it as uncharacterized. The record is from RefSeq and is a predicted model, not a curated record. NCBI's taxonomy places the organism in Eukaryota, Viridiplantae, Streptophyta, Magnoliopsida, Fabales, Fabaceae. The transcript has 2 exons.
UUUUCACUUUCUCAUUUCUUUCUCUUUCUACUUUCUCUUCUCUCUUCUGGUUUCACAUCAAUGACUAUUUUCUCUUUCUCUUUCUACUUUCUCUGCUCUCUUCUGGUUUCACAUCAAUAACUAUUUUUUCUUUCUCUUUGGAUUUUUGGUUUAUGAACUAUUAUCAUGUGUUUGUUUCAGAUCUUGCAGAAGCACUCCUUGAAUGCAAAGAAAAUGUUCAAGAUCUCUUAUGGUAUGUGCAAUAAAAGGUGCAGAUGAACAAAGAAAAUGUUCAAGAUCUCUUAUGGUAUGUGCAAUAAAAGACCCUUCCACUUUUUCUAUUUUAUGUUGUGUCAAAUUACUCUAAAGGUUGAAGGAUGCAAAUGUUAGAGCUCGGAUCUGUCACACAUAUUUCAGAUCUACAAGGUUAGAGUUUGAAUCUUCCGUGCAUGUUUCAGAUCUACAGGGUUAGAGUUUCAAUCCAAUGUGCGUGUUUUAGCUCUGAGGGUUUAGAUCUCGAAUCUGCCGUGCAUGUUACAGAUCUAUAAGGUUAUAUUUUAAUUAACUUUUUUUAUUCAAGAUUUUAUUCAUUUUUCUUAUUAUUUCUUUCAGGUUCUCUAAUCUUUCACAUCUUCAUGCUCUAAAUGGAAUAUUUAUAUUUUGUUUUUAUUUUUAUUUGUCUUCUUCCUUCUUA